RNAcentral lists this ribosomal RNA (502 nucleotides) under uncultured bacterium. Its description in RNAcentral is "bacterial SSU rRNA". It matches the Rfam family "Bacterial small subunit ribosomal RNA", at positions 28 to 507 of the family's 1533-position model. The record is from RNAcentral.
GAUGAACGCUGGCGGCGUGCCUAACACAUGCAAGUCGAACGAAGCUCCUGCGACAGAUUCCUUCGGGAUGAAAAUGCUUGAAACUUAGGGGCGGACGGGUGAGUAACGCGGGGGUAACCUGCCCUGUACUGGGGGACAACAGUUAGAAAUGACUGCUAAUACCGCAUAAGCCUACGGAGUCGCAUGACUCAGCAGGAAAAAUUCCGGUGGUACAGGAUGGGCCCGCGUCUGAUUAGCUAGUUGGUGAGGUAAUGGCUCACCAAGGCGACAAUCAGUAGCCGGCUUGAGAGAGUGAACGGCCACUUUGGGACUGAGACACGGCCCAAACUCCUACGGGAGGCAGCAGUGAGGAAUAUUGGUCAAUGGGCGGAAGCCUGAACCAGCCAUGCCGCGUGCGGGAAGGAGGCCCUAUGGGCUGUGAACCGCUUUUGCCUGGGGGCAAUAAGGGCGCCGCGCGCGCCCGAUGAGAGUACCAGGCGAAUAAGCAUCGGCUAACUCCGUG